UGGGAGCGAUCCUGCCGCCCCGAUUAUGGCUACGAGAAGCGCCGAGGGAGAUUGAAGCGGGCGGCACCCUGCCGCCCGAUUACUACAAGGAAUAAAGUACAGUACAGUGCCUUACUUUCAUGGAAGGGUUUUUCUAUUUUCAGGAAGUUUUUAAUGGAGAGAACAUUCAAAAGGUGUGAUCAGCCACUUGUAUUCUGAAGUGGUACAAUCUGUUCAACUAUCUCUUUUUGCUGAAUAUGAAACCAGGCCUUCAUCAUCCAUUCUCUCACAGGGAUCUCUAACUAGCAUCCCCUACGAAACAGAAAGAUUCUUCACAUCAUAAAAUAUUUCAGCUUCCGCCUCCUCAACCCUCCCUCCUCGGCAGCAGCUGCCUCCUGCCCCGACUGCCCCUCAGCCCUACUCUAUGGCUUCUCUCCUCUGGACAAGUCUCUCAACUCUCGCGAGAUGUGCCACGUACCACGGAAUUUGCUACAUACGUCCUAUGGCUUUUAAAUAUAUAGAUUGUCUUUUCAUGAAACAGAUGGUAAGAGAGAGUUUUCAUUAACCUGGCAA
Long non-coding RNA from Hemicordylus capensis (graceful crag lizard), 552 nucleotides. RefSeq lists it as uncharacterized. The record is from RefSeq and is a predicted model, not a curated record. NCBI's taxonomy places the organism in Eukaryota, Metazoa, Chordata, Lepidosauria, Squamata, Cordylidae. The transcript is spliced from 4 exons.